This 551-nucleotide ribosomal RNA is filed under the name uncultured bacterium. Its description in RNAcentral is "bacterial SSU rRNA". It matches the Rfam family "Bacterial small subunit ribosomal RNA", at positions 773 to 1319 of the family's 1533-position model. The record is from RNAcentral.
AGGAAAUAGAUACCCCGGUAGUCCACGCCCUAAACGAUGUCAACUAGUUGUUGGGGGAGUAAAAUCCCUUAGUAACGCAGCUAAACGCGUGAAAGUUGACCGCCUGGGGAGUACGGUCGCAAGAUUAAAACUCAAAGGAAUUGACGGGGCCCGCACAAGCGGUGGAUUAUGUGGAUUAAUUCGAUGCAACGCGAAAAACCUUACCUGGCCUUGACAUGCCACUAACGAAGCAGAGAUGCAUUAGGUGCCCGAAAGGGAAAGUGGACACAGGUGCUGCAUGGCUGUCGUCAGCUCGUGUCGUGAGAUGUUGGGUUAAGUCCCGCAACGAGCGCAACCCUUGCCAAUAAUUGCCAUCAUUCAGUUGGGCACUUUAUUGGGACUGCCGGUGACAAACCGGAGGAAGGUGGGGAUGACGUCAAGUCCUCAUGGCCCUUAUGGCCAGGGCUUCACACGUAAUACAAUGGUCGGUACAGAGGGUUGCCAACCCGCGAGGGGGUAGCCAAUCCCAGAAAGCCGAUCGUAGUCCGGAUUGUAGUCUGCAACUCGACUAC